UUACAAGCUUUUAUUUACUUUCACCUGACCGUUGUCUGUGUCUAAUCAAAUCUUGCAAGUUAAAUCUGAUCCACUUCCCGGUUUCCGAUUGAGCUGAAAUUUUGCAUACAUACGUAAGUCGGGUGACAAUGCAAUAUUAUGAUGUCAUCGAGCUGAUCUGAUGAUGGAGACUGGAGGUGGCCUUCGGAACUCUAUGAUAAAACAACGAAACCUAAUUGUGUUUGGGGUUUUUAGAAUUGUCUCGAUGAGUAUUAGUUGCCUGUGGAAAGAAAAGUACAGUCAGCGAUAAAAGCUUGUACCAAAAAUUAAAUUUUCCCAAAUACUUAUUACGUACAUAUUUGCUCAUACAAUAAUGACUACCUACGUUGAAGUAAUACUAAUACAUUGUUUGAAUGUUUGUUCAUCGUGCAGUAGUUUAAUAGGGCCGCACCGACCACAAAGCCUAAUAACAGAUCAUCACACAAACAUGUGUAAACUACGCAUUAACUAACCUUCUAACACGGUAAUGCCACAUCACAAGUAAUACAUGCUUGUUGCCUUAAAUAACUAUUAGGUAUAUACCGCACAUUCGAUGUCACCGUGUGUUGAAUACAGGUUGUUAACGGUUUCACUACAACGUUUAACAGUUUAUAAUUCCAGUAAAAUAGGCACGAAGAAAGUGAUACCAGCCGUCUAGAAUUUAUGCAGGCCGGGAACAAUAAUUACAUUAGUACUGCGGUUACAAAAGCGAUGCACAUUAGCGAAAUGUGAGUUUACCUGCUCAUUGCGAUGUGGACGAUCACUUUGUCGGCAUCGACAAAGCCCAGCUGCCGUUCCGCCUUGUUUAACAGACUCUCGUUAAUUAUCCCUUCGACUAACCAAAAUCUAUAACGUUUUUAUCCUUUGUAUUAAGAACGCUCUUUGAAAACCACGCGCUGGAAGCGGAAUAGUUAAAUCACGCGGACGCUUGAGAUCAUAUAAAUUAUCAGAUGUAAAGAUAAUGAAGCAUCGCAGCUAUCCGAGGAAUUCCCGUCUCCUCGUUCAUUACAAAAGAGCUAACAAUGAGCUAUGGCACGUUCGUUACGGUCAUUAUUUGCUAAGCUUAAUUACCUGGCCUAUUCAACGCUAUCUACAGAACCGAUCGAUAUGAAAUAAAUCAAUUUAAUCUAAUUAAAAGCAUUACAUGUUUUUUGUUCGAUAACGAAACAAGACGAGGUAUUAGGAGAUGGAGUCGUGGAGAUUAGGAGGUGAGGUUGGAGCAGCGGGUCACCGAUCAUAUCUCGACAGUACCUACGUCAAGCCGUCCAUCCGCUGUCGAGGCUCUCUAUAAAUUAUUUAUCCAAUCUAAUUUAAUUUACAUCUCCCCUGACCUUUCGGUGUUGCAUCGGCUCUAGAAAAAUACCUCUUAGAAUCCACGUGACUCAUGCAAGUUUCAUGGCACUUAUUGUAUUACGGGAGGAAUCGCAUUAGGCGGAGUGCGGCGGAAUGUUUCGGGAACGCGGGGAAUCAGAUGCGUGCGGCGACGACAUGAAUUUUAAAUGUUCUGGUUGAUUCCGAUUUGAAUUAUGUGCAUGGCGCCGAUGAAAACUCUAGAAGUGCAUCUAUUCAGGUGUUGUUUGGUGCAUCGGCCGCCUGGCCGGGCCAGGAGGCCGGGCUGGCGCGUCUCGCCACGCAGUCUACGGCGGAAGUUUACGACCGAACGCCAGCCACUUUUAUUGGCUACCUCACAUCGAAGCCUCCUCGCAGCCUCCCAUUCACUCCGUUUAAUCGACCGACUGGUCGACUGACUGGUCGACUGACUGGUCAACAGUGCCAUAAACCAUCUUCACUGUCGCCGUAAAAGUCUCGUGCGGUUUUUCAUCUGCGCUGCGGAAUUAUACCUAUCCGAAAUGAUGCGGAUUCUUCGCCAAGGAUUAGAAUGGAUAAAGUGCCGGUAGGUGUGAAACUACAAUUCGCAGGAAAGCCGUAAUUAAUCUAACCUAACUUCAUACGGCAGCAAUAAAAGUGACCUGCGCAACACAUGUGCGUAUUACACAGAUUUAAAACAGUA
This is a long non-coding RNA of Cydia fagiglandana, 2029 nucleotides long. RefSeq lists it as uncharacterized. Lineage: Eukaryota; Metazoa; Arthropoda; Insecta; Lepidoptera; Tortricidae. The transcript is spliced from 3 exons. The record is from RefSeq and is a predicted model, not a curated record.